Molecule: long non-coding RNA, 281 nt
Organism: Helianthus annuus (common sunflower)
Lineage: Eukaryota; Viridiplantae; Streptophyta; Magnoliopsida; Asterales; Asteraceae
Exons: 3
Source: RefSeq, a predicted model, not a curated record
CUGACACUUCACUCUCAUUGUUAUUGUUUUACCAUACCCGGAUUUUGACCCGACUACAUAAACUCCUUAAUUAACCUAAUUACUCAUUCGCCUCAUUCAACAACGCUGCUGUGCAAAACACGGUCGGCAUCUACUUGGUUUUGCGAUGAAGGUAAAAUAUGAUAGAUUUGGAGACAAGUUCUUUGCAAUUCAAGAGUUUAUUGUAAGAUUGUCAGAUUUUAUUCACUGCCAUUCUUGGUGCCUUUUGAUUAAUUAUAAUAUAUAUUGAUUAUGAAGAAUGC